This 674-nucleotide long non-coding RNA is filed under the name Homo sapiens (human). Its description in RNAcentral is "small nucleolar RNA host gene 17". Lineage: Eukaryota; Metazoa; Chordata; Mammalia; Primates; Hominidae. The record is from RNAcentral.
GGAGUGUCACAUGACUGCCGCCCCAUGUGUGUGAGAGGCGUCCUCUGGGAGAGCAUGGAUCCUGAGGUCCCAGGAUUGUCAGCUGACCUCUGUCCUGUGUGCCCAGUGGCCCCAGGUGACGUGUCUUCAAGAAGAGGCUGAGCUGCGGUGCUUGUAAGGCAGGGUCUCAUUCUGUCACCCAGGCUGGAGUGCAGUGGUGCAAUGAUGGCUCACUGCAGCCUCGACCUGGGCUCAAGUGAUCCUCCACCUCAGCUUCCUGAGUAGCUGGGACCACAGGUCUCAGCCUUAGAUCCAAGGACAGUCCAAGGAAGUCCUAAGACCAUGGAGUUGGUGAUCUGGGAUCUGGGUUUGCUGAUAUUUCUCACCGUGAAUCUCUUGGUGGUGUUUGUGGGCACGAGAGGGGCAGAGAAUGGAGAGUGAGGCUACCACAUGAAGCGUCACCAGAGCUGCUCCCUGCUGCCUGCUCAGAGCACCCCGGAUCCACUGUUCAAUCUGCACAAGAUUCGGGGUCCAGACAUGGGAGACUUCAGCUGCCUCAGAGGACCGUGGACAGGGAAGGCCAGCCUCGCAUCCCUCUGUCCAUGCCUGGAAUGACUUUAAUAACCAAGAGUUUUAUUUUUGAAUUUGUAGCUGUCGUUCACUUUUUACCCACCCAUUCAAUAAACCUUACAGAA